GAUGAACGCUAGCUACAGGCUUAACACAUGCAAGUCGAGGGGAAACGAUAGAGAAAGCUUGCUUUUUCUAGGCGUCGACCGGCGCACGGGUGAGUAACGCGUAUCCAACCUGCCCAUCACUUGGGGAUAACCUUGCGAAAGUAAGACUAAUACCCAAUGAUAUCUCUAGAAGACAUCUGAAAGGGAUUAAAGAUUUAUCGGUGAUGGAUGGGGAUGCGUCUGAUUAGCUUGUUGGCGGGGUAACGGGCAACCAAGGCGACGAUCAGUAGGGGUUCUGAGAGGAAGGUCCCCCACAGUGGAACUGAGACACGGUCCAAACUCCUACGGGAGGCAGCAGUGAGGAAUAUUGGUCAAUGGGCGAGAGCCUGAACCAGCCAAGUAGCGUGCAGGAUGACGGCCCUAUGGGUUGUAAACUGCUUUUAUAAGGGAAUAAAGUGAGUCUCGUGAGACUUUUUGCAUGUACCUUAUGAAUAAGGACCGGCUAAUUCCGUGCCAGCAGCCGCAGUAA
Molecule: ribosomal RNA, 508 nt
Filed under: uncultured bacterium
Lineage: Bacteria
Description: partial 16S ribosomal RNA
Rfam family: Bacterial small subunit ribosomal RNA
Source: RNAcentral